GGGGGGCAACCCCCAGUCGAGCGGCGAACGGGUGAGUAACGCGUGGAUGACCUGCCCUUCAGCGGGGAAUAACCCGGGGAAACUCGGGCUAAUACCGCAUACGACCGAGAGGUGAAAGGGGGCCGCAAGGCUCCUACUGAAGGAGGGGUCCGCGUUCGAUUAGCUAGUUGGUAGGGUAAUGGCCUACCAAGGCGACGAUCGAUAGCCGGCCUGAGAGGGUGAUCGGCCACACUGGAACUGAGACACGGUCCAGACUCCUACGGGAGGCAGCAGUGGGGAAUUUUGCGCAAUGGGCUAACGCCUGACGCAGCAACGCCGCGUGGAGGAUGAAGGUCUUCGGAUCGUAAGCUCCUGUCAGCAGGGAAAAAGCGACCUGACCUAAUACGUCAGGGAGUUGAUUGUACCUGCAGAGGAAGCCCCGGCUAACUCUGUGCCAGCAGCCGCGGUAAUACAGAGGGGGCAAGCGUUAUUCGGAAUUAUUGGGCGUAAAGGGCGCGUAGGCGGCUUUGCAAGUGACGGGUGAAAGCCCUCGGCUUAACCGAGGAACUGCCUGUCAGACUGUGAGGCUUGAGACCGGGAGAGGUGAGUGGAAUUCCCAGUGUAGCGGUGAAAUGCGUAGAUAUUGGGAGGAACACCAGUGGCGAAGGCGGCUCACUGGACCGGAACUGACGCUGAGGCGCGAAAGCGUGGGGAGCAAACAGGAUUAGAUACCCUGGUAGUCCACGCCGUAAACGAUGAGUGCUUGGUGUAGCGGGUAUCGACCCCUGCUGUGCCGAAGUCAACACAUUAAGCAC
RNAcentral lists this ribosomal RNA (794 nucleotides) under uncultured Bacillota bacterium. Its description in RNAcentral is "bacterial SSU rRNA". It matches the Rfam family "Bacterial small subunit ribosomal RNA", at positions 74 to 867 of the family's 1533-position model. The record is from RNAcentral. Lineage: Bacteria; Bacillati; Bacillota.